CAGAAAAUUAAAAUAUGCAUAUAAGCAUUUUAUUUAGUUAUUUGAGUGCCUGAGCAACGCAUUUCUGUAAAAAAAAGCAGUAAUAAAUAUAAAAAAUUGAAAACAUAAUUGUAAUGAGAAAUUGAGAAUAACUCCGCCCUUAGACGAUUACGUCAUUGGUGCGCUGAUCAGAAACGAGCAGUCUCUCAUCACGGAGAGAAGUGAGAUGGCCUUUUGAUCAGAUAUGUGCAUAAAUCAGAGUUUAAAGAUCGAUAAAAGUGAGUAAAACACUGGAUUAAUUGUUAAAAUGCAUGGAUUGAAACACUGAUAACCCGAUUGUGUUGUUAAUCAAAUCUAAAAUGCGUUUGUAUUGACCUUAGAGAUAUAUUGAGACGUUGGGCUGAUCUAUCCAACGAAAAUACAGCUUAAAGCAGUAUUUCUAGAUACAUCGGGACUUUUUCUGAUCGUUAUUGAUUUGUUCUUGGUUGGGUUUUUUUUCUCUCCUUUUGUUUGUUUUUCUUCUAUCUUAUUGUUCCAUGAUCUGCUACAUAUCUCAUUGAGAUUUGACGAGGAUUUCCUUGGAUUCUGGAGUUUCAACUGUUUCUGCCAGUAAUGAGAAGUGUUUGAUAUUGGUAGAAACUGGCGAGCCAACCUGUUUAUUCGAACUUUGCACAUUUCGUGUUCAUCAAAGUGGUAGGAUUGCACACAUUAUUUCUCCUGGACAUUGCCAUACCGUGAACAGAAAACGGUCUUCCAUUUUUUUUGUCGUGGAGUUGCAUAUUUGCAUUAAGUUGACUGAACAUUGAACAAAUAGCACAAGGGACACUGAAUUGAGUCAAUCCUUUUAUUGGUUGUUGAACAUUUCUACAAUUUAUUGAAAAGAUAUUUUGAUUGCAUUGUUAUUGGAUAUAUAACUUACCUGAAGGUUAAUGUUCUAGUGUUUUAUUUUAUUUUUUUCUAUAUUGAGUUUUCUCUUUUCCUGAAAAGGAAAUAGAAGGUGGUUAAAAGAAACUGUGAACUUAAAACUGGUUGUAUUUCUGUCUGUGAAAGCAACAAGAGUGUUAAAGGGACACUACUACUUUUUUUGUGUUAAAGAAAUUUGAAGCUGGUAUUAUAUAUAAUAUAUAUUUGAAUAAUUGAAUAGCUUUAAAUCAUUUUGAGAAGUUUUUCCAAGACCAGAAGACUUUUUGUACAUUUUGAAGGUUUCAUUUGAAGCUGCUAUUUUGAGUUUAUUUUGUUGUUAUUGUUUAAUUUAUUUUCCUGCAAAGAAAAAAAAUUUGAAUACAAAAGAAAUACUUACCUUUUACUACAAA
Molecule: long non-coding RNA, 1292 nt
Organism: Misgurnus anguillicaudatus (oriental weatherfish)
Lineage: Eukaryota; Metazoa; Chordata; Actinopteri; Cypriniformes; Cobitidae
Source: RefSeq, a predicted model, not a curated record